This 468-nucleotide ribosomal RNA is filed under the name uncultured bacterium. Its description in RNAcentral is "partial 16S ribosomal RNA". It matches the Rfam family "Bacterial small subunit ribosomal RNA", at positions 28 to 507 of the family's 1533-position model. The record is from RNAcentral.
GAUGAACGCUGACAGAAUGCUUAACACAUGCAAGUCUACUUGAAUUUGGGUUUUUUAACUUAGAUUUGGGUGGCGGACGGGUGAGUAACGCGUAAAAAACUUGCCUCACAGUUAGGGACAACAUUUGGAAACGAAUGCUAAUACCUGAUAUUAUGAAUAUAUGGCAUCAUAUAAUUAUGAAAGCUAUAAGCGCUGUGAGAGAGCUUUGCGUCCCAUUAGCUAGUUGGAGAGGUAACGGCUCACCAAGGCGAUGAUGGGUAGCCGGCCUGAGAGGGUGAACGGCCACAAGGGGACUGAGACACGGCCCUUACUCCUACGGGAGGCAGCAGUGGGGAAUAUUGGACAAUGGACCAAGAGUCUGAUCCAGCAAUUCUGUGUGCACGAUGACGUUUUUCGGAAUGUAAAGUGCUUUCAGUUGGGAAGAAAAAAAUGACGGUACCAACAGAAGAAGUGACGGCUAAAUACGUG